Molecule: ribosomal RNA, 122 nt
Filed under: Gigantopelta aegis
Lineage: Eukaryota; Metazoa; Mollusca; Gastropoda; Neomphalida; Peltospiridae
Source: RNAcentral
GUCUACGGCCAUACCACGUUGAAAGCACCGGUUCUCGUCCGAUCACCGAAGUUUAAGCAACGUCGGGGCCGGGUUAGUACUUGGAUGGGUGACCGCUUGGGGAACACCGGGUGCUGUAGACA